GAUGAACGCUGGCUGCGUGCCUAAUACAUGCAAGUCGAGCGAACAGACGAGGAGCUUGCUCCUCUGACGUUAGCGGCGGACGGGUGAGUAACACGUGUAUAACCUACCUAUAAGACUGGGAUAACUUCGGGAAACCGGAGCUAAUACCGGAUAAUAUAUUGAACCGCAUGGUUCAAUAGUGAAAGACGGUUUUGCUGUCACUUAUAGAUGGAUCCGCGCCGCAUUAGCUAGUUGGUAAGGUAACGGCUUACCAAGGCAACGAUGCGUAGCCGACCUGAGAGGGUGUUCGGCCACACUGGAACUGAGACACGGUCCAGACGCCUACGGGAGGCAGCAGUAGGGAAUCUUCCGAAAUGGGCGAAAGCCUGACGGAGCAACGCCGCGUGAGUGAUGAAGGUCUUCGGAUCGUAAAACUCUGUUAUUAGGGAAGAACAAAUGUGUAAGUAACUAUGCACGUCUUGACGGUACCUAAUCAGAAAGCCACGGCUAACUACGUG
This 497-nucleotide ribosomal RNA is filed under the name uncultured bacterium. RNAcentral's name for it is "partial 16S ribosomal RNA". It matches the Rfam family "Bacterial small subunit ribosomal RNA", at positions 28 to 507 of the family's 1533-position model. The record is from RNAcentral.